This 430-nucleotide ribosomal RNA is filed under the name Acidobacteriota bacterium. RNAcentral's name for it is "Acidobacteria bacterium partial 16S ribosomal RNA". It matches the Rfam family "Bacterial small subunit ribosomal RNA", at positions 355 to 776 of the family's 1533-position model. Lineage: Bacteria; Pseudomonadati; Acidobacteriota. The record is from RNAcentral.
UGGGGAAUAUUGGACAAUGGGCGAAAGCCUGAUCCAGCCAUGCCGCGUGUGUGAAGAAGGCCUUUUGGUUGUAAAGCACUUUAAGCGAGGAGGAGGCUACUUGGAUUAAUACUCUAGGAUAGUGGACGUUACUCGCAGAAUAAGCACCGGCUAACUCUGUGCCAGCAGCCGCGGUAAUACAGAGGGUGCGAGCGUUAAUCGGAUUUACUGGGCGUAAAGCGUGCGUAGGCGGCUUCUUAAGUCGGAUGUGAAAUCCCUGAGCUUAACUUAGGAAUUGCAUUCGAUACUGGGAAGCUAGAGUAUGGGAGAGGAUGGUAGAAUUCCAGGUGUAGCGGUGAAAUGCGUAGCGAUCUGGAGGAAUACCGAUGGCGAAGGCAGCCAUCUGGCCUAAUACUGACGCUGAGGUACGAAAGCAUGGGGAGCAAACAGG